This 405-nucleotide ribosomal RNA is filed under the name uncultured eubacterium OCG11. RNAcentral's name for it is "bacterial SSU rRNA". It matches the Rfam family "Bacterial small subunit ribosomal RNA", at positions 992 to 1392 of the family's 1533-position model. The record is from RNAcentral.
GGAAUCCUGCAGAGAUGCGGGAGUGCUUCCUUCGGGGAGAACCUACACACAGGUGCUGCACGGCUGUCGUCAGCUCGUGUCGUGAGAUGUUGGGUUAAGUCCCGCAACGAGCGCAACCCUCGUCCCUAGUUGCUAACGGUUCGGCCGAGCACUCUAAGGAGACUGCCUUCGCAAGGAGGAGGAAGGUGAGGACGACGUCAAGUCAUCAUGGCCCUUACGGCCAGGGCUACACACGUGCUACAAUGGUUGGGACAAAAAGAUGCAAUACCGCGAGGUGGAGCUAAUCUCAAAACCCAAUCUCAGUUCGGAUUGGAGUCUGCAACUCGACUCCAUUAAGCUGGAAUCACUAGUAAUCGUAGAUCAGCAUUGCUACGGUGAAUACGUUCCCGGGUCUUGUACACACCG